RNAcentral lists this ribosomal RNA (315 nucleotides) under Triticum aestivum (bread wheat). Its description in RNAcentral is "partial small subunit ribosomal RNA". The record is from RNAcentral. Lineage: Eukaryota; Viridiplantae; Streptophyta; Magnoliopsida; Poales; Poaceae.
AUGAUCAAUAGCUCUUCCUCAUCAUUAAUGCUAACAUCACAUGCAAACGGUGCAUUAAACCAUUCCUCAAAAUUCCCAGAUGAAUUAAAAAUAUUUGGCAGAAUAAAGUUGAGCAAUGACCACAGCUCCUGUAGGCUAUUUUGGAUUGGAGUGCCAGUCAAAAGUAGUCUGCGGCGGAUCAAAUAUCUACAAGAAAUGUGCGAGCAAGAGCACAUUCAUGAUUUUUCAAGCGAUGUCCUUCAUCAACUAUCAAAUAGUGCCAGUGAACCUUCUUCAGGAACUUCUUAUCUUUCAGUAUCAAAUCAUAGUGUGUGA